CAUGUGUGCUCGCUGCCAGGGCCCCUCCCCUCUGCCACAGCAGGAACACGCGCCGCUGCAGACCGGCUUCCUAUAAAGCCUGUUCACACUGUGCCCUGCUGCUGAUCCGAUUCCACAGCUCCCCCUGAACACCCGCCCUGUCCCCGGACAGCUGAAGGUUUUGAACCAUCCCAGAGGAUCCCUGAUCCAUCAUUUCAGAAACAUGAUCAUCAGACUGGGCAGGCUUACACCUGGAUACUUCCGCCUUCUUCAGAGGCAGGUGGCUGGUGAGGUCCAGACGCAGUCACACGACCGCACCGUCAACCAGAUCGCCAUGAUGCUGGCCAUCAUGGGUCUUAGUUUGUCUUAUUACAGCGCCAAACAGAUGACUGAGAAGGUCCACGUCCAGCCGGCACCCUGAAGAGACGCGGUCGCUCCACAGUCUUGAGAUGACGGAUGAACCAAUGACAACUGGAGGAGACCACAGAGGUGGAGGCAGGAAGCGAGAUGUGGCGGUGUGUCUCUGGACAGCACUUUUCUCACCUCAGUCUUUGAUCUCACCCAUCCACUGAUUCCCUGGGAUCCUCCACACAUAAGUGGCAGAGCUUUAUAGGGUUUAUCAUAAAGAAAUAAUUUUCAAACUUAUUCUUGCCAGAACUUUUGGCGAUUUUUAAGGGGAUAUGCUUAUUGGGGGUCACAGGGAGAACUGGUUUGGGUUUUUGGUAACCAGUUUACUGCCAAAUGGGUCUGAGAAUUAGUCAUAGCGAAGGUGCAUGCUUACAUGAUGCCAUCAGUUCUAUAAAAGGGAGAAUAAACUUCACUGUGAAACAUGAUUUGUCCAAAAAGGGUUAUUUUCUGAAUUCUCCUUUUUAAGGGAGGGCUGACUGAGCUGUUCCUCCUAAUGAAGUGAUGGCAGACCCAAAGCAUGGUUAAAAGAGGAUGAAAUGAUACCUUUUUAAUACCUUAAUAUUUUUUUUAUAUAUAUUUUUCCCUUCAGAAUCUUUUAGAGCCUUCUGACCAGAUCAGAAACUGAUCUGUCUGUAUAUAUGAGCUGUUUCUGUCAGUGAAUAUUUGCACAACACUAUCGAAACCUUUUAAAAUGCUGAAGUGGAUAGGGACUCUGAACUACUCUCUGUAUUAAUGCGUAAUUUCAUCGUUUAACAAAUCACAAAGUUGUCUCUGUGUGACUUUGUUCUUAAGAGUCUUCCUUGCAGGAUCUUCCAAUGUUAAUGCAAUCAUGUACCUUUAGUAGAAUGGCAUGUAUGUGUAGAAAUCUUAUCAUUGCAAUCUUCACAAGUCUUGUUUUUUUUUUUUAUUGAUGAAUGAAUGUAACACUUUGGUUUGUAAUGAUUUAAUAAAGCUGUGACUAUUUUAAAAGAUUU
Molecule: long non-coding RNA, 1361 nt
Organism: Cyprinodon tularosa
Lineage: Eukaryota; Metazoa; Chordata; Actinopteri; Cyprinodontiformes; Cyprinodontidae
Exons: 3
Source: RefSeq, a predicted model, not a curated record